AGGGCAAGUCUGGUGCCAGCAGCCGCGGUAAUUCCAGCUCCAAUAGCGUAUAUUAAAGUUGUUGCAGUUAAAAAGCUCGUAGUUGAAUUUCGGGGUUAGUAGGUUGGUCAUGCCUCAGGUAUGUACUGAUCUCACUGAUUCCUCCUUCCUGAUGAACCGUAAUGUCAUUAAUUUGGUGUUGCGGGGAAACUGGACUGUUACUUUGAAAAAAUUAGAGUGUUUAAAGCAGGCUAACGCUUGAAUACAUUAGCAUGGAAUAAUGAAAUAGGACGUUCGAUCUUAUUUUGUUGGUUUCUAAGAUUGACGUAAUGAUUAAUAGGGAUAGUUGGGGGCAUUAGUAUUCAAUUGUCAGAGGUGAAAUUCUUGGACUUAUUGAAGACUAACUACUGCGAAAGCAUUUGCCAAGGAUGUUUUCAUUAAUCAAGAACGAAAGUUAGGGGAUCGAAGACGAUCAGAUACCGUCGUAGUCUUAACCAUAAACUAUGCCGACUAGGGAUCGGAUGAUGUUAAUUUUUUAAUGACUCAUUCGGCGCCUUACGGGAA
This 543-nucleotide ribosomal RNA is filed under the name uncultured Glomeromycotina. Its description in RNAcentral is "SSU rRNA". It matches the Rfam family "Eukaryotic small subunit ribosomal RNA", at positions 552 to 1096 of the family's 1831-position model. The record is from RNAcentral. Lineage: Eukaryota; Fungi; Glomeromycota.